This 465-nucleotide ribosomal RNA is filed under the name uncultured bacterium. RNAcentral's name for it is "partial 16S ribosomal RNA". It matches the Rfam family "Bacterial small subunit ribosomal RNA", at positions 28 to 507 of the family's 1533-position model. The record is from RNAcentral.
GACGAACGCUGGCGGCGUGCUUAACACAUGCAAGUCGAACGGUAAGGCUCCAGCUUGCUGGGGUACACGAGUGGCGAACGGGUGAGUAACACGUGGGUGACCUGCCCUGCACUUCGGGAUAAGCCUGGGAAACUGGGUCUAAUACCGGAUAGGACCGCACCGUGAGGGUGUGGUGGAGAGUUUUUUCGGUGUGGGAUGGGCCCGCGGCCUAUCAGCUUGUUGGUGGGGUAAUGGCCUACCAAGGCGGCGACGGGUAGCCGGCCUGAGAGGGUGGACGGCCACAUUGGGACUGAGACACGGCCCAGACUCCUACGGGAGGCAGCAGUGGGGAAUAUUGCACAAUGGGCGGAAGCCUGAUGCAGCGACGCCGCGUGGGGGAUGACGGCCUUCGGGUCGUAAACUCCUUUCACCAUCGACGAAGGGUUUCUGACGGUAGAUGGAGAAGAAGCACCGGCUAACUACGUG